This 681-nucleotide ribosomal RNA is filed under the name uncultured bacterium. RNAcentral describes it as "bacterial SSU rRNA". It matches the Rfam family "Bacterial small subunit ribosomal RNA", at positions 125 to 818 of the family's 1533-position model. The record is from RNAcentral.
UCUGCCUCUAUCACGGGGAUAACUACUGGAAACGGUGGCUAAUACCCGAUGUUGCAACUUGUUGUAAAAGUCUUCGGACGGAUAGAGAUGAGUCUGCGUCUGAUUAGCUUGUUGGUAAGGUAACGGCUUACCAAGGCGAUGAUCAGUAACUGGUCUGAGAGGACGAUCAGUCACACUGGAACUGAGACACGGUCCAGACUCCUACGGGAGGCAGCAGUGAGGAAUAUUGGUCAAUGGGGGCAACCCUGAACCAGCGACGCCGCGUGAGGGAUGACGGGGCUUUGCCUUGUAAACCUCUGUCAGAAGGGAAAAGAAGGUUGUUUGGCGACCUGGGCUUGUACCUUCGGAGGAAGCACCGGCUAACUACGUGCCAGCAGCCGCGGUAAUACGUAGGGUGCAAACGUUGUCCGGAAUUACCGGGUGUAAAGGGUGCACAGGCGGUUUUGUGCGUCAGAGGUUAAAUGCCACGGCUCAACUGUGGACCUGCCUUUGAUACGGCAAGACUUGAGUGGAAGAGAGGAUGAUAGAACUCCUGGUGUAGCGGUGAAAUGCGUAAAUAUCAGGAAGAAUACCAUUUGCGAAGGCGGUCAUUCGGCUUUCAACUGACGCUUAAGCACGAAAGCGUGGGUAGCGAACAGGAUUAGAUACCCUGGUAGUCCACGCCCUAAACGAUGCAUGCUU